UGGUGGAGUGAUUUGUCUGGUUUAUUCCGUUAACGAACGAGACCUCGAUUUGCUAAAUAGCGUCCGUCAUUUUCGGAUGGCGCGAAGCUUCUUAGAGAGACUGCUGGUGUGGAGCCAGAGGAAGUUCGAGGCAAUAACA
This 139-nucleotide ribosomal RNA is filed under the name uncultured eukaryote. Its description in RNAcentral is "partial 18S ribosomal RNA". It matches the Rfam family "Eukaryotic small subunit ribosomal RNA", at positions 1299 to 1458 of the family's 1831-position model. The record is from RNAcentral.